RNAcentral lists this unclassified non-coding RNA (334 nucleotides) under uncultured fungus. RNAcentral's name for it is "partial contains 5.8S ribosomal RNA and internal transcribed spacer 2". The stretch from base 1 to 133 matches the Rfam family "5.8S ribosomal RNA", at positions 22 to 154 of the family's 154-position model. The record is from RNAcentral. Lineage: Eukaryota; Fungi.
UGGUUCUGGCAUCGAUGAAGAACGCAGCGAAAUGCGAUAAGUAAUGUGAAUUGCAGAAUUCAGUGAAUCAUCGAAUCUUUGAACGCACAUUGCGCCCUUUGGCAUUCCGAAGGGCAUGCCCGUUCGAGCGUCAUUAAACCCCAUCAAGCCUGGCUUGGUAUUGAGCAAUAGGGCGUCCCUAUGCUUCAAUUUCACCGGCUGGCCGUCGCCCGUCUUAGCGUUGUGGCAUCAUUUGUCGCUAGCGAUGGGAGCGGACCACGCCGUCACAACUUGAUGAGUUUCAUCCGAAACUUUGAUUAAGGUUGACCUCGGAUCGGGUAGGAAUACCCGCUGA